AGAGUUUGAUCAUGGCUCAGAACGAACGCUGGCGGCAUGGAUUAGGCAUGCAAGUCGAACGGGCGCAGCAAUGCGUCAGUGGCGAAAGGGUGAGGAACACGUGAGUAACUUGCCCCCAAGUUCGGAAUAGCUUUGGGAAACUGAAGAUAAUACCGGAUGUGGUUGUUCUGCUGCAUGGCAGGGCAACUAAAGGUUUACCGCUUGGGGAUAGGCUCGCGUCCCAUUAGCUAGUUGGUGAGGCAACGGCUCACCAAGGCGACGAUGGGUAGCUGGUCUGAGAGGAUGGUCAGCCACACUGGGACUGAGACACUGCCCAGACUCCUACGGGAGGCUGCAGUCGAGAAUCUUCCGCAAUGCGCGAAAGCGUGACGGAGCAAUGCCGCGUGCCGGAUGAAGGUCUUCGGAUUGUAAACGGCUGUCGACCGGGACGAACCAAUGACGGUACCGGUAGAGGAAGCCACGGCUAACUACGUGCCAGCAGCCGCGGUAAUACGUAGGUGGCGAGCGUUGUUCGGAUUUAUUGGGCGUAAAGGGUCCGUAGGAGGUUGGGUAAAUUUGACGUGAAAUCCCGGAGCUCAACUCUGGAACUGCGUUGGAGACUGCCUGACUGGAGUGCUGGAGAGGUAAGCGGAAUACCAGGUGUAGCGGUGGAAUGCGUAGAUAUCUGGUAGAACACCAAAAGCGAAGGCAGCUUACUGGACAGCAACUGACUCUCAAGGACGAAAGCGUGGGGAGCAAACAGGAUUAGAUACCCUGGUAGUCCACGCCGUAAACGUUGUCAACUAGAUGUGGGCGGCUUUAACCCCGUCCGUAUCCAAGCUAACGCGAUAAGUUGACCGCCUGGGGACUACGGCCGCAAGGCUAAAACUCAAAGGAAUUGACGGGGGCCCGCACAAGCGGUGGAGCAUGUGGCUUAAUUCGAGGCAACGCGAAGAACCUUACCUGGGCUUGAAAUGUAACGGACAGUCUGUGAAAGCAGAUCUUCCUUCGGGACUGUUACACAGGUGCUGCAUGGCUGUCGUCAGCUCGUGCUGUGAAGUGUUCGGUUAAGUCCGGCAACGAGCGCAACCCGUGUCUUUAGUUACCAACAGGUAAAGCUGGGGACUCUAAAGAGACUGCCCGUGUUAAGCGGGAGGAAGGCGCGGAUGACGUCAAGUCAGUAUGGCCCUUACGUCCAGGGCUGCACACGUGCUACAAUGGGCGGUACAAUGAGACGCAAAACCGCGAGGUGGAGCAAAUCUACAAAACCGCUCUUAGUUCAGAUUGCAGUCUGCAACUCGACUGCAUGAAGUUGGAAUCGCUAGUAAAGGCGUAUCAGCUACGACGCCUUGAAUACGUUCCCGGGCCUUGUACACACCGCCCGUCACAUCAUGGGAGCUGACUGCACCCGAAAUCGCUGUUUCGACCUUUCACGAGGGGAUAGGCGCCUAAGGUUCGGUUGGUGACUGGGAUGAAGUCGUAACAAGGUAGCC
Molecule: ribosomal RNA, 1472 nt
Filed under: uncultured rumen bacterium
Lineage: Bacteria
Description: bacterial SSU rRNA
Rfam family: Bacterial small subunit ribosomal RNA
Source: RNAcentral